CAGCCAUAUUAUACUGAAACACCAGUUCUCAUACGAUCACCAAAGUUAAGCAACAUCAAGCUUGGUCAUUACUUAGAUGGGUGACCACUUUGCCAUGCCUGUUGCUGUAAG
Acanthosepion pharaonis is the source of this 111-nucleotide non-coding RNA. NCBI's taxonomy places the organism in Eukaryota, Metazoa, Mollusca, Cephalopoda, Sepiida, Sepiidae. The record is from the annotation of a GenBank genome assembly.